GAGGGUAUAGCUCAGUGGUAGAGUGUGUGCUUAGCAUGCAUGAGGUCCUGGGUUCAAUCUCCAGUUCCUCCA
RNAcentral lists this transfer RNA (72 nucleotides) under Camelus bactrianus (Bactrian camel). It matches the Rfam family "tRNA". Rfam says of the family: Transfer RNA (tRNA) molecules are approximately 80 nucleotides in length. Their secondary structure includes four short double-helical elements and three loops (D, anti-codon, and T loops). Further hydrogen bonds mediate the characteristic L-shaped molecular structure. tRNAs have two regions of fundamental functional importance: the anti-codon, which is responsible for specific mRNA codon recognition, and the 3' end, to which the tRNAs corresponding amino acid is attached (by aminoacyl-tRNA synthetases). tRNAs cope with the degeneracy of the genetic code in two manners: having more than one tRNA (with a specific anti-codon) for a particular amino acid; and 'wobble' base-pairing, i.e. permitting non-standard base-pairing at the 3rd anti-codon position. The record is from Rfam by way of RNAcentral. RNAcentral also lists the same sequence under 1 other name. Lineage: Eukaryota; Metazoa; Chordata; Mammalia; Artiodactyla; Camelidae.